UAGGCAGGGAUUGUGUGUAUCGGUGUUGCGCUACAAAUAAAUGUACUCUGUUUCUGAAAGAGUUCCCUGCAGGAGGGAAAAAAAAAUUAACUGGGUGGGCAGUGGUGCUUCAUUUGCUUUGUUGGGAGUUUGAGCAAUCAUCUUCCUCAUAUUA
Molecule: small nucleolar RNA, 154 nt
Organism: Hevea brasiliensis (rubber tree)
Lineage: Eukaryota; Viridiplantae; Streptophyta; Magnoliopsida; Malpighiales; Euphorbiaceae
Product: small nucleolar RNA snoR135
Exons: 1
Source: RefSeq, a predicted model, not a curated record